GUCCUCGGCGGCGAUCUCGCGCUCCCGCGGCGUCUCCAUUGCCAUUGCGAGCGGAGGCGACGGCGACGGCGACGAUGACGAAGAUUCGCAGGGUCUCGCGCCUCCUGCAGGAGCCUCUCGACCUGCCCGGGAACGCUCGAUACCAGACCGUCCUCGGUGCCCCGCAGUUUCUGUUCGAUCCUCAAAAGAGCCCUUUUGGCGAUCUUGUUAGUCUCCACGGGUGCUGAAGAAGGCCUUCUCCGGCGUGAUCGCCCACGUGAAGAGCGGAUCGUAUAGCAAAACUUGAAGGAGGGUGAUGAUGAUCUGCCUCUGAU
Long non-coding RNA from Vollenhovia emeryi, 314 nucleotides. RefSeq lists it as uncharacterized. The transcript has 3 exons. The record is from RefSeq and is a predicted model, not a curated record. NCBI's taxonomy places the organism in Eukaryota, Metazoa, Arthropoda, Insecta, Hymenoptera, Formicidae.